AAAUUUUUAGAGGAAAUCAUGCCUAGGAUUUGCUUCAAAAUAAUUAGGAGCAGUUGUGGGAAAUGGAUGGUGAUACAAAGAAAAAGUAUAACUAAUAACAAUUGUUGAGUUAGGUGACAUACACAUGGAAUUUUUUAUACUAUCCUCUCUACUUUUGCAUAUGGUUGAAAUAGUCCACGUUAAAAAUGUUUUUAAGGUGGCUCGUACCUCAAAAUUGAAAGUGUGUUUGUUGUUUAUUUGGCUGUAUGAUAUAAUACAAUGGUUCUUAAAGUACAUUUUUUGGAACAUUAGUUCUGAGAAUGUUAGAUGUUCUUCAUAUAACAGGUUAUGUGAUUAGAUUGGAAAACACCAAAUUAAACAGGUUUUUUCACUAUUCAGAAUCUUAACGAUGUUAAUAUAAUUCUCCAAGUGGAUGUAAUAUGCAAGGUUUCCCAAUUGAUUUAGUUAAUUGAAUUCUUUUUUAUAUGUCCUUUGGGAGGCUAGUAUUCUAUAGAACAUAUUUUAGUAAACACUGGUGUGGAGUUCCCACUGUGGUUAAGAGUCUGACUGCAGUGGCCCAAGUCACUGCAGAGGUGUGAGUUCUAUUCCCAGCCUAGCACAGUGGGUUAAAGGAUUGGGGUUGCUACAGCUGUGGCAUAGGUCACAGCUGCGGCUCUGGGCACUGACCACUCUACAGUUUGCAUCUCUAGCCAAGAUGCAUGCAAAGCUCAAUUCCUCACUCUCCUUGGAGAUUCCUUACUGUUAUGCUUUCAGGAAUGACCAACACAGUUUAAUGAAGCCUAUAAAGUGUCACUUGAUUGUAUUUAAAAUUGAUGUUUCCUUUCCUUGCUAUUUCUUGGGGUUUGUAGGUCAACAUUUCGAGUGUUUGGAAGCUAUGUGUCCACUGAAGGGGUAAUGGACUUCGUAGUACCCCAUCCACUCCUUGGCCACAGAAACAUGCUUAGGAACUGACCCAACUUCAGACAUCUAAGUUCAUUCCUGCAAACCCAUUUCCUGUAUUCAAUUCUGGGAUGGGUAUGGGGUCCAGAGAUGGGCAAGUGUUAUAUCCAAGCACGGAGGCCCUUUAUUCCAUGAUAACUAAGAGCCUCUUUUUUCCCCCAAUGGAUGUGAAUUAUGAAGCUUCAGCCCCUCCCCAAUACUUCUGCCAACCCUUCUCCUACAAAAAGGGUCCAGCCAGGGGCAAGGCUGACACUGGAACAGCAUCAAGGAUGGGUGGAAUAGCAAAGUCCUUGUUUACAUUAUUGAACUGCUGAAACCAUCAAUACUAUACCUACUCAAGCACCUCUAAACUUCCUGUUAAGUAAGGUGAGAGAUUUCCUUGUUGAAAUUACCAGAAACAGUGGUUUUUGUCAGGUGGAGCCAAAAGCAUCCUCACUGAAAAAGAUAACAAAGGUUAGAGUUGAGUUUGCAAAUUUCACUUGGUAAAUUACUCUUGCUGUGAAAUACUGUUGAUAGGUAAAGGAACCGUAUCCUUGCCAUCACAGAAUUAUAACAAUUUUUAAUUUUUGUCCAUCUAUUCUAAUUCAUGUUUCCCUGAUUAUUAGGGAGGCUGAAAUUUCUUUCUGUAUGUUUAUUAGCCAGUUGGAUUUCCCUUUCAGUGAAUUGCUUAAUUAUAUACUUUGCCUAUUUUUCCACUGGAUAGUUUAUCUUUUUCACAUUGAUUUUUUUAAAUUUAGAAAUAUAUCAUUGAUAAAUUACUUGUUAUUUACCUGUAUUCAGUGAAAAUACCUCUCCUACUCUAAGUUUCUUUUGAUCUUUGCUUUUUUUGUCUUUCUAUAUAGAAAUUUUAAUUGUAAUGUAGUUGAACUCAUCUUUUUCUCUACUGUUUGUGCUUUUCUGAUAUAUUGCUUGAAAAUCAUUUUGUGCUUACAGAACAUAAAGAUCUUCUCUUAUUUUUUAAUGAAAUUUUACUUCUUCACCUUGAAAUAUUUUUCGUACCAGGAAUCUAUUUUAUAUUCAAUGUUGGAUGGGGCCUCAAGUAUUUUUCCAUAUGCGCAUUUUUCUAGGAUGACUUAUUGAAUAGACAAUCCUUUUCCCCAUUUAUGUGUAAUGUUAACUCUGACAAACACCAUUUUACAUAGGAUCACCUUUGUAUCUAGGUCUCUGUUCUGUUUUAUUAGACUAUUUGUAUAUACCUAUACCUGUAUUAUAUGGUCAUUAUUAAAUAGCCAUAUACUAAACAUCUAUAUCUUAGUUCCUUUUCUAUAUGCAUUUCAGUAUCAGUUUAUCAAAACCAUCCUAUUGGGAUUUUGAUUGAUAUAGAGACUAAUUUCAAGAGAAUACCUUUAAGAUAUUUAGUCUUCCCAUCCAUGACAUGGUAUAAUUAUUUCUCCAUUAUUAAGGUCUUGUUUUACAUGCAUGGAUGAGAAAAUAAAAUCCUUCUAUAAUCUACAGCAUUUUAUCAUUUAUUCUAAAAGAUAAGACAAUCAGGGAAUUCCUGUUGUGGCUCAGCAGUAACAAACUCAACCAGUAUCCUCAAGGAUGCGUGUUCCAUCCCCAGCCCCCACCCACUGGGUUAAGGAUCCGGCAUUGUCAUGAGCUGCAGUGUAGGUCACAGAAGUGGGUCAGAUCUGGCAUUUCUGUGGCUGUAUAUAGGCCAGUAGCUGAAGCUCUGAUUAGACUCCUGGCCUAGGAACUUCCAUGUGCCUCAGGUGUGGCCCUAAAAAGCAAAAACAAACAAACAAACAAACAAACAAAAAACCCCGCCCCCCCAAAAAAAACCCAAGUAAUAAAAAACACUCAAUGUUUUACUCCCUUGAAGAGAUCAUGAAUAUCAAACUUUCCUUAUGUUGAACAAUUACUCUUGUUCUCUUUUUUUACAAUGUAUUUUUAAAACCUAUUUUCAAAUGUAGAAAACACUAAGACCUUAGGUAUGUUAGUCCCUGUCUCUGACCUCAUUUCUUUGGUGCAUAUCCUUGGUAAAAGACAAAUCUACAUUUAAGAUUUUUGAAGUCAUGGGAUGUUUUUCCCCAUAGUUCCUUUAGUAAUGUUUUCUAAUUUUCCACCAAAACAGCAUUUAUCAUCUUUUAUUGAGUUUGUUUCUUGGUUUCUGUUGCUAUUAUAAUAGAAACUAGGAAGUCUUUCAUAUUUUAAAGUUAGAUGCUGCUGAAGUAUAGUAACAUUAUUCAGUUUGUAUGUUAAUUUUAUACUAAACAAAGUUGCAGAUAUAUAUACACAAGUUUUCUU
This 3186-nucleotide long non-coding RNA is filed under the name Sus scrofa (pig). RNAcentral's name for it is "lncRNA (ENSSSCG00000052424.1)". Lineage: Eukaryota; Metazoa; Chordata; Mammalia; Artiodactyla; Suidae. The record is from RNAcentral.